AUGUUUCAUUUUGCAUGAGAACGACAUGUACCCAGAUAAUAUUUAGUGAGCUCUCCUUUUCCUCUCACACCACUGAUAACAUUCUUUAGAAAACCUUGUACCAGGCUGUGCAGGGUUUGAAGACAGUG
Molecule: long non-coding RNA, 128 nt
Organism: Melanotaenia boesemani (Boeseman's rainbowfish)
Lineage: Eukaryota; Metazoa; Chordata; Actinopteri; Atheriniformes; Melanotaeniidae
Exons: 3
Source: RefSeq, a predicted model, not a curated record